AUUGAACGCUGGCGGCAUGCUUUACACAUGCAAGUCGAACGCGAAAGGGGGCAACCCUGAGUAGAGUGGCGCACGGGUGAGUAAUACAUCGGAACGUGUCCUGUAAUGGGGGAUAACGCAGCGAAAGCUGUGCUAAUACCGCAUACGUCCUACGGGAGAAAGCGGGGGAUCGCAAGACCUCGCGUUAUAGGAGCGGCCGAUGCCGGAUUAGCUAGUUGGUGGGGUAAAGGCCUACCAAGGCAACGAUCCGUAGCUGGUCUGAGAGGAUGAUCAGCCACACUGGGACUGAGACACGGCCCAGACUCCUACGGGAGGCAGCAGUGGGGAAUUUUGGACAAUGGGCGCAAGCCUGAUCCAGCCAUGCCGCGUGAGUGAAGAAGGCCUCGGUGUAAGA
Molecule: ribosomal RNA, 394 nt
Filed under: uncultured bacterium
Lineage: Bacteria
Description: bacterial SSU rRNA
Rfam family: Bacterial small subunit ribosomal RNA
Source: RNAcentral